Molecule: long non-coding RNA, 3014 nt
Filed under: Salvia miltiorrhiza (redroot sage)
Lineage: Eukaryota; Viridiplantae; Streptophyta; Magnoliopsida; Lamiales; Lamiaceae
Description: long non-coding RNA (SMIL_LNC002000)
Source: RNAcentral
AUCACUACCCACUACCACCACCAACUCCCAGCCAAACCCACUGAUAUACUUCACCCAUCCCCUUCCACUUUUACUCAAUCUCCCACACAAUUUGCCAUAUUUCACUUUCAAAAGGAAACCCAACGAACAUAUUUCACUUUCAAAAAGGAAACCCAACGAACAAGUGCAGAGGUAAGAACUGCAAUCAUAAUUUCAUAAUUUAUUUCUUACAACACAAACUCUCCACCUCAAUGAAUAUACGAUAUGUGAAUCAAUUUCAGUUGCCACACAAAUUCAAACAAACCCAUUCUUGAGUAUCACAUUACUAAAAAUUUCAAACUUACACUAAAACAAAGAAUCAUAUGCAUAUAUAUGUUCACUGACCUUUAUAUAACAAGCAUUUAUAUGAAUAUACAUAUGUAUACUAAGUAGUUUAAUUUUUUAAAAAAAUGAAUGAACUUUAUUACGAAUAUACAUAUAUGAUAUAACCUGUGCAUAUUUAUAUUGAAAGCAUCAAUGUAUUUGAAGAUGAAUAAAAGUCGAGUCUUGAGGCUUUGUUUUUCCUUUGAUUUCGAACUUGCUGUAUCGAGUCUUGGAUAGUGCGUAUAUGUGUCAUGUUGAGAUGUGGGAGUCGAGUCGGUGGAGGGGCCGUGGCAGUGGCAGCCCUGCCGCUGCUGCUCGGUCGAGGGCGAUGGAAGAGAGGUGAGACGGUGGUCGUUGAUGUCGUCUGACAGAGGGCGAGACCGGAGGCGGAGGCGCAGCCUGUAGCUGCGUCGUCGUCGGAGAGAGAUGAGGGAGGCUGGGCUUGGCGGCGGUGGUGCCGCUGCUGCCCAGCCAAGGACGGGCGGAGAGGAGUGUACAGUGAGAGGGUCUGAGCGGACGGUGGAGCAGCAGCUUAUCGCUGCUACUCGCCGGAGUCGGAGAAGAAGAGUGGCUUUUGCUGCUGCUCGUUGACGGAAGAGCAGUCGAGAGAGUGAUUCGACUGAAGGUGGGCGGUGGUGACCGAGGUUUGAGAGAGUUCAGAGGGAGAUGGGAGAUUGCCGGCAGCUGUUGUCGCUGGAGAAGGGGGCGCGGCCGCGGCUUGGCGGCGGCAGGGGGGAGACCGAGGGGUUGGGCGUGAGUCCGAGAGAGAGAGGGAGACGAGCAGUGAAGGGGGAGGGGAUGAGUGACUGAAAUGUGAGUGUUUGUGCGUGUGUUGCGGCUGAUGGGGGGAAGAAGGCUAGGUGUUGGGCUAGGGUGAGGGUUGGGCUUUGGGGUUGGGUUUGAAAUUUCGAAUUGGGCUGAGUAUUUGGGCCGAGAUUUUAUUUAUUUUUGUCUCAGCUGGGCUUUUAAUUAUUAAAUCUAAUGGACCUUUAUUAAUUUAUUUAAUUGGACUGUGCUAGUUUCUUUAUUUAAAAUGGACUACACUAUUUUUAAUUAAUUAGACUAAUUAAGUUUGAUUAAUUAUUUUAAUUUGUCAUAAUAAUAUUAUAUUAUUAUUAUGUGCAUAUUUUAAGUAAAUUACUUAUUAUAUGAUAAACAUGACAUGAAAUUGCAUUAUAUUUUUGCAAUAAGAGUAUUUAAGAUUUAAUUGGUUUUAUUUAUAAUUCCAAUUAUUAAAGAAAGUUGAGUUCAUUGUUUUUCAAAGGUCACGUGUUCGAAACUCCCUUACCCCCACUUUUUCGCAGUUGAAUCGGCGAGCCACACUCUUCUCCUUUGUCCAAAAACAGUGGCAGUGUGGGAUAACAUCUUUGGAUGGCUUGGCGUGUCCACAGCUCGCCCGGCAAGCAUCUCGGAUCAUUUUCUUUCUUUUAUUCACCUGGGAAAAGGUAAGAGAUGGCACCGAUUUUUGAAGGCUUUGUGGUGCUGCUCAAUCUGGGUUUUAUGGAGGAGAAGGAAUGAGGGUCGUUUCGAUGGAAAGGCUUGGGAUAUCAAGAGUACUUGCUUGGAAAUUAAAGCAAGAAUGUGGAGUUGGAACUUUAUUUUUGGUUUUUUUGAAUGGAAGGAUUCUUUUCCAUCUUGGUGCUCUUGCAUUUUGGCACCAUUUCUGUGUAAUUAACGUUGGGCAUUUCUUAUGCCUCCCUUCGGUAUUAAUAUACUUCUUUUCCGAUCAAAAAAAAAAAAUUAAAGAAAGUUGAGUAAGAAUAUUGUUGGUGUUCUUAACUCAAGAUAAAUGUUUUCAAUUAUUUAUUCAUUAAAUUUUGAAAACCCGGCUAAGUGAAUCAUAGAAUGUUAAGCACUACACCAUGACUUAAGAUUAGAUUCAAGGAGACCUAUUAAGAAUAGAAUUUCUUGUAGGCUUCGUGACCAGGGGGAUUAGCGCUGCUUUCCCAAGACAGGUUUAUAUGUGAUUAUGAUCUUCAGGCUUUGCCUAACCAGGUGGGCUUACUUUUCAAAUGUACAAAGUAUGAUUGAGUUAUUAAGCUCUAAAUGUUUUCAAUGAAAUGCAAAUUGUUUAUUUAAUGUAAUGAAAACUGUUUAUCCAAUAAAAUAUUUUGUGCACUCUGCUCUGUUUAAGGCUCGCAUAAGUUAAUCGAUCGAGGUUCUCUUAUGACCUAACACGUUGUUUGAGAAUUGUGUACACCUAUUAGCUGACUCGGUGGGUUGAUCUCCAUUCGGGCACUAAUCAUGUAUGAGGCGUUAUAAGGGUGCUCGACGGGAUGUGUUCCGGAGCAUUGGGUCCCAAAUGGGAACUUGACUGGGUUACGCCCUCAGUUCAAGUAAAGCGGGAGAUAUGGAUCCGUCGGUGGCUAAAAGGUCCGGGAUCACAGCGAGUAACAGAAAGGGAGUGUGACAUGUGCGCACAAAUGAAAAAUGUUUUAACAUGCUUAGAAGUUAUUUCAUUUUAAAACCUUCUAAGUCAUGUCAAGUAUAAUUGGAUAAACUGCUCUUACGAAAAUAUGAAAUGUUUAUGAAAAUGCAUGCCCACUAAGUACAUUAGUACUUAGCCCAAAAAUACUUUCAAAUGUUUUCAGGUUGGCUGGCUGGUGCUGACGGGACGGAGCUGAGGCUAGAGUUAAAAUUCAUAUGUUAGACUUCCGCUGUAGCAAUUACUC